UGCUUGGUAGAGUGGAAAAAAAAAUGGAAGGAUGGAAAAUUGAAGGGGUAGAAAACUAAAAGGAUGGAUAAGAUAAUUUUUCUUUCCACAGGUGUGCUUGGUAGGAAAGAUGGAAAAAUAGAAAAAAAAUGUAUAAAAUUUUCUUUCUGUCAAUUGCUUGGUAGAGUUGAAAAAUGGAAGGAAAGAAAACAAAACAUUUGAAAAAUGUUGAACUAACAUACACAUCUCUCUCGUUUUUUCGUCUUUACAACUUGGAAAAAUUAGUUUUUAUGCAUUAGGAUGGGCAACGGUCAUCCUUACUAUUUUCUUUCCUCUCAUUUUUCUUCUCAACCAAGCACACCCUAAAUGUUAUAAAAUGAAAACCAAAUAAUAAAUUACAAUCUUAGCAGAAAAAACAAAUUCUUGAAAAAUUGAUAUGCAGUUUGAUUAAUACAAACACAUACCAAAGAAAGCUGGAGACAAGGGAAACCAA
RNAcentral lists this long non-coding RNA (472 nucleotides) under Gossypium barbadense (sea-island cotton). RNAcentral describes it as "long non-coding RNA (GBAR_LNC009902)". The record is from RNAcentral. Lineage: Eukaryota; Viridiplantae; Streptophyta; Magnoliopsida; Malvales; Malvaceae.